This 618-nucleotide long non-coding RNA is filed under the name Medicago truncatula (barrel medic). RNAcentral's name for it is "lncRNA gene1284". The record is from RNAcentral. Lineage: Eukaryota; Viridiplantae; Streptophyta; Magnoliopsida; Fabales; Fabaceae.
UUUCCAUCGCUUCUUCAGUCACACUAUCAGAUAUUGUUUUUUCUCAGUAUCCUUCUUGUCUCCUCCAUCUGACAGCGCCACAAUCAGAUCUCGUUUUCCCUCACCAUGAUUGCCCUAUACCCCUAUUCUUUGCCACCAAGGUCGCGAUGCUCAUUCUAUCUCGUCUCUUCUCAACCACACUCGGAUGAUUUAACGGAUGUCAAGAAAAAAGAUAUCGACCCGACCGUGCAAUUGCACUGUCUCUAUGAAAGAAGGAUCUGAAAAGGAAAAAAGUUGUUGAGUUAUGAUCAUUGAUCUUCUGCAUGCUCUUGAACACUACUUGCUAGUUCAUUCCAACCUCUAGUUCGGCCUCCAAAGUUACGUGCAGGGAACCAUUUACAAUGCAUAUUACAAUUUGUUUGGGUGAAUCAAGAAGAUGCUAUAGAGAUUUUAACUGCUUUUGCCAAUGCAUCUCAUGCACUACAGCCACUCAAAGUUCCUGAAUCCAGAAAAGCGAUUAUGAAGCUGGCAGGAGUGUAUUUGAGACUUAAAUGGUGUAGAGAAUUCAGGAAAAUGCCGAGGUUGGGAAAAACAAGUACUAAAGAAAAUCUUUCUACGUUGUCUAGUAAAAGAAAGUAA